This is a non-coding RNA of Malus domestica (apple), 1381 nucleotides long. The record is from RefSeq and is a predicted model, not a curated record. Lineage: Eukaryota; Viridiplantae; Streptophyta; Magnoliopsida; Rosales; Rosaceae.
AUGACCGUGUGAAUUAAAUACUCAGUUAUCUAUUCCUCUAAAAUACAUGAUGCGUCUGAUUCUUUUUCGUUCACAGAUGAUGGUGCAUGGUUGAGGUUUUUAUGCUAUCACUCUGUUGGUUGUUUUAUGAUUGUAAUUUUUUGUUUUAAAACGUGUCUGUUGUGUGUGAUGUACAAAUUAGAGCAGAGGUUUGUACAUACGGUUUUAAAUUGAGGGGGAGCCAUAAUUUUGUUAUCAGAAAAAAAUUUGAUUGAGGUUUCAUCUGGUUGUGUUACGGUUGCGCAAUCUGUGGUUCGCAACGACUGUGAUCAUUUCCUGACAAAUGUAUGGAGCUGUGUUCUUUUUGGUGGGGAAUUAUGGUUGGUGAUGUUAACAAUGGAUUGAGUCUUUCUGUUUGGUAUGAUUAUAUCGUUGAACAAGCAUGGUUUUAAAGUGGAUGCAGAUGACCAUUUUGUUUGCACGAGAAAAUGGUUGAGUUAGUGGUUUUUAAUCGUUUAAUUGUUGUGCCUUUGCUAUGAUCCCUGUUCCAGCGGUGUUUGAUUGGCGCAAAUAGAUUUUCAUUGUUGUUUCUCAGCUGUUAUUUUCGUUGCUGUUCUGUGAGUUAGUGUUAAUGGCUUUGCUGUGUUUGCGAUUUUCAGGAACUUGGAUCGUUGGACAAAGCACUUGGCCCUUUGGCUUUUGAGGUAUAUUUAUUUGCGGUUGUUAUGGUGGAAUGUGCAAUCGUUAUGUCUUAAGUUGAGCCUGGUUCUUUAAUAAAAACAACCAAAUGUAUUGACUUUUGCAUGUGUUUUGCGUGAGAACACCAAGUUGUGAUGUGUUCGUCGUUGUUAACAUUAUCAGCAACUUUGGCUUUUCAUGUGUUCGCAUGGUAAAAAUGGCUAAUAUAUUGAGUUUGAAAAUAAGGGUUUGGGGUUCGCUGUCUUUCCAUGUGUAUAAUUUUACCCCAUUUUUCGUUUCUUUAUAAUUUCAAUUAUCUUUCAGCAACCUAAUCACUAAGCUUAUUAAAUUCAUUGACCAGGUGAUUUUGGAUUCAAUCCAGAAGUUCCUAUUUCUCAGAUUGGUGUUGUCUGUUCCUUUGUGGUAGUGAGAUUGUUGGGAUGAGUGGGUAGGGUUGGAUCGUCUGAUGAAAAACACUGACGAGAAUAAGAAGAAGCACGAGUACCUCAACCAGAAACAGGGAACAGACAAGAAUGCAAAGCUAAUACACACAACACAUACUAAACCAAAAAGUUAUCAUGCGUCAAGAGGGAAGAAGCGAAAGAAUGACUCUGUCUGUAAGAUGGGUUUCUGUAAUGCGAAUUUCGUGAGGUUCAUAACGCUGAUUUGAUUCUCUCAUAAGAAAGGAUCUCCUCUCUGGCUUUCUGGAACAAGUCAUCGAAGC